RNAcentral lists this long non-coding RNA (307 nucleotides) under Mus caroli (Ryukyu mouse). Its description in RNAcentral is "lncRNA (MGP_CAROLIEiJ_G0013276.1)". The record is from RNAcentral. Lineage: Eukaryota; Metazoa; Chordata; Mammalia; Rodentia; Muridae.
GGGCAGCCAUUCCCGGGACUUUGGACUUGGCUCCGUUGCACCCCUGAACGGACUGCAUUUGGAACCACCCUGGGAACAUACCUCUGGGAACCAAGGUUGCUAGGAGAACACCUGUGCCCCCAGCACUUUGGUCCAGCAAGGGCAGGAGAGGAGAGCUGGAAACUGGUAGAGCUGUGCUACCUGCUACCUCCUGAGGCUCUCAGGGAGCAGGAGAAUCUGAACAUGAGUGGCAAGAGCUGGGUACUGAUCUCUACGACUUCGCCCCAGAGCCUGGAAGAUGAGAUUCUGGGACGGCUUCUGAAAAUUC